RNAcentral lists this ribosomal RNA (696 nucleotides) under uncultured bacterium. Its description in RNAcentral is "bacterial SSU rRNA". It matches the Rfam family "Bacterial small subunit ribosomal RNA", at positions 32 to 715 of the family's 1533-position model. The record is from RNAcentral.
AACGCUAGCUACAGGCUUAACACAUGCAAGUCGAGGGGAAACGACAUCGAAAGCUUGCUUUUGAUGGGCGUCGACCGGCGCACGGGUGAGUAACGCGUAUCCAACCUGCCCACCACUUGGGGAUAACCUUGCGAAAGUAAGACUAAUACCCAAUGAUAUCUCUAGAAGACAUCUGAAAGAGAUUAAAGAUUUAUCGGUGAUGGAUGGGGAUGCGUCUGAUUAGCUUGUUGGCGGGGUAACGGCCCACCAAGGCGACGAUCAGUAGGGGUUCUGAGAGGAAGGCCCCCCACAUUGGAACUGAGACACGGUCCAAACUCCUACGGGAGGCAGCAGUGAGGAAUAUUGGUCAAUGGGCGAGAGCCUGAACCAGCCAAGUAGCGUGCAGGAUGACGGCCCUAUGGGUUGUAAACUGCUUUUAUAAGGGAAUAAAGUGAGCCUCGUGAGGCUUUUUGCAUGUACCUUAUGAAUAAGGACCGGCUAAUUCCGUGCCAGCAGCCGCGGUAAUACGGAAGGUCCGGGCGUUAUCCGGAUUUAUUGGGUUUAAAGGGAGCGUAGGCCGGAGAUUAAGCGUGUUGUGAAAUGUAGGCGCUCAACGUCUGCACUGCAGCGCGAACUGGUUUCCUUGAGUACGCACAAAGUGGGCGGAAUUCGUGGUGUAGCGGUGAAAUGCUUAGAUAUCACGAAGAACUCCGAUUG